Molecule: long non-coding RNA, 485 nt
Organism: Zingiber officinale
Lineage: Eukaryota; Viridiplantae; Streptophyta; Magnoliopsida; Zingiberales; Zingiberaceae
Exons: 4
Source: RefSeq, a predicted model, not a curated record
AUGUGAUGCAUGCUUUAGAUUUUGACCCUCAUGCCUUUGCACAUUUCCAUGAUGAGUGAAAGAGAUGAAGGCGUAGUCAGGUCACUAUGCAAGUUAUGGAUGAGAAGUUUGGUUGUGCAGUUGCACGUAUUGUCCUGCCCCGACUAGUUAUGCAUACUAGAUACUAUUAUGGGGCAUUUUCUCAAAAUUGGUGAAGGUCUGAGCCCACCCAUUGGUUUUCAGUUAGCAUUCCCCAAGGGCCUAAAUUCAGCACCAGGAAGACCAAGAGUAGCUCCCAGCAGUCCUGUAAUUUUCGAAGUCACUUUGGAGUAUGUUCCAGGCCUAGACAAUGAGUAAACCUUGUGCUUCCAGUUCCAUCCACUUGUUCAGAGGAGUUAAAGAAAUGAGCUUGGAGAGCUUAAAUUUUUUUAAUCUGUAAGUUAUAUAAAGAUAUAAAAUAUGUGGGAAUAUUUCUUUCUCAUUUAAAUAUCCUACAAUUCUUCAGC